CUGCUGUGCACUUAUGAGAGUUUUCUCAGCUGUCAUUUAGAAAAUCCUGAGGGCGGUUUUCUCAUUCUUAGUCAUCCCUCCUCAUCACCCUCACCUUCAAAAAUACUUUGUGGGCUAUGGAUGGUGCCAGAGAAGAGUCCACACUCCUACACAGGCGGGCAAGGCUUCUCUCACUUCUGCAGCUUCGGCCUCUAUCAACACUACUUAGUGAUACAAAGACCUGCUCCAACCAAUUCAACACAUUUCCUGGUUUGGAAAUAGGACUUCACUCCUCUGAGAAUGGCCUGUGUGACGGAAUGCCUGCCCAGGUCUCUAUAAGGACUGGGCAUGCAAGAGGGAUAUAUGUGUGUCAUAUGAAAUGUGGCUGAAGUCCAGAGAAAUAGGUUUCAUUUAAUAGCUGAAUACUGGAUGACCUCCCCACUCCUCACGCCCUCUGGCAGCUCACCCCGGGAGCGAUAGACGGGCCGCCUGCGCCAGCCGAGGCGUGGCUGCCAGCCUCAAUGUGAUUUUGCAAUGAUCUGUGCUCUAUGGCUGCCUUCAUAACCAACAAAUCAAUUCCCACUGUUCGUGUUACACACCCCAGUGGCGGAGGCCAUUUGUUAUCCUUUUGAUGGUCAUACUCUUUGUCCAUAACCAAGAAAGAUUACAGGAGAAGGAGAGAAGAGUGGAAAUGUGGAUGAAGAUAUUAGGCCGUGGUACCGUGGGUCGCAGCGUGCCUUGAAUGCAUAUGAGAAUGAAAAAGCCGUUCCUCAGCUGCCGCUAACGCCACAUCUGGAGAAUUCUUCAAGCAUCUCUGUUUUGUGCUGGUGUCAGUGUUUUCCGAACUUGAGUUCGCUCAAUGGCAAAGCCAGGGCUUCUGGUACAUCAUCCUGCUGAUGGCUUCUCUCUGGUUCCUGAGGCUCUACCUGCAUUAUCUCAGCCAGUGGUUUUUCCUCCAGGCCACUUCAACUCCUGUUACAAAAUUCCGUUUUUCCCCCCUCACGGUGGAACUCUGCUACCCAGCCUCUUCCCUUCACAUCGCAGAAGAGAUGCUUGUGGUUGUGGUGGGGCCUUUCCUGCUGAACGCAGUGGUACUUCUCUUGGUUCUGGUCAGAUGGGGCUGUCAGCUACUGUUUGCCUUCUGCCCUGAUGUCCUGUCAAAGUUAAUCAUCACCAUGGGACUAUGGGCAGUUCUGGACCCACUGGCUGUAUUUAUUGUGGAUACUGUCCUGGGGCGACUCACACAGAGUGGGGAGACUCCAGUAGCUGAUGCAGCCAAACUGUACUGGAUGUUUGAAAGAACCAUGCAAUCUGGAAUUCUCGGUGUGAUGCUCACGGUGCUACUUUAUGUCCUACUGUUCAUCAUUUCGACUUUGAUUUUAUAUGUGUAUUGUCUCAGAUUGCACAAUGAUUCUUGGAUAUUAGACACAUUUCAGCGCAUCCACAGUGAAGAAAGCAAGUUCUUUAUACCAUAUGAUUUGGAGAUUUCCAAUCAGGAGCUAAGCUAUAUCAUAAAAAGAUCUGAGCAGUGGAGAGGAUUCAAUGGUGAGAGAAGGAAGGUGGCAGUGUAUGAUUAUAUCUGGAAAAAGCAUGGCGUCCAGUCCAGCAUCUCCAGCUGUGACCUCCAACAGCACAAUGAAAUUUCUGUGACGGCACUUGGUCCAGGAGGUAUUACUUCUCAUGUAGCUGUGUACACCGUUUAUCCCAGUGGGUUCCAAGAGCUAUACCGCCAUUUCCUUAGGCUCCCUAGCGGUGCCAUUGUUGAGGUAUUUGGUGAUAUCGGUGGUUUAACGAUUAUCCCCAGAGAACUGGUCACAGCUAUUCAAAAGCAUCUAAGUGAAAUAGACAGCACGCUGGGAGACUCCCCGGAUAUUAAAUCAAGAG
Molecule: long non-coding RNA, 1863 nt
Organism: Capra hircus (goat)
Lineage: Eukaryota; Metazoa; Chordata; Mammalia; Artiodactyla; Bovidae
Source: Ensembl